This 256-nucleotide ribosomal RNA is filed under the name uncultured bacterium. Its description in RNAcentral is "partial 16S ribosomal RNA". It matches the Rfam family "Bacterial small subunit ribosomal RNA", at positions 521 to 776 of the family's 1533-position model. The record is from RNAcentral.
UAAGACGAACCACACGAACGUUAUUCGGAAUUACUGGGCUUAAAGGGUGCGUAGGCGGCGCAGAAAGUUGGGUGUGAAAUCCCUCGGCUCAACCGAGGAACUGCGCCCAAAACUACUGUGCUUGAGGAAGAUAGAGGUAAGCGGAACUUACGGUGGAGCGGUGAAAUGCGUUGAUAUCGUAAGGAACACCUGUGGCGAAAGCGGCUUACUGGGUCUUUUCUGACGCUGAUGCACGAAAGCCAGGGGAGCAAACGGG